CUCCUGUUGUCUGCCUGCUCCCUUUGGAUCGCUGUUUGGACUACCUUAGUUUUUGGACUCUGUAUUCAGCCACUUACCUGUAAGUGUGCUUUUGGUUUGUUCAUUAAAACCCUUUGUACUGUACCUCCUCCAGCCUUGCGUCCUGUGUUUGGGUCAUCCAACCUGCCUCACCCACACCAAACCGUGACACCGGCACACGUGGGCAGUUUCUUGUAAGCACACAAUUUUAUUAUAUUUUUGAGUAAUUUCAUUAAUUGCUAUAUUAAGGACAUUUAUAGUGCAUUUUUAUGUUUUGCAUGCAUUAUGGGUUGGCAUCCUUCACUAUGUCUGCAACAUUCACACCUGGACUAUGGGAAGUUGCAAACACAGGCACCUUGAAUCGGAUCAAAUGCAGGGAAAGAUGUGGAUCAAGAGAGACUCCCAGUGCCACAAAGCUUUAGUGGACAUAGUUCUCGAUAAGAGGUGGCAGAUGUUCACAACUAUCUGCGAUUCAGAUCGACUGCAGACCUAGAGUCAUUCCAGAAUCAUAUCCUGAUGUAUGCCAGCAAGCGCUAUGCUUUCAGCCCCUCAGUUUAUGUGACUUAUGUGACAAGACUUCUGCUUGCUGCUUUGGACUACAAUUUCCACCGGAACCGACCAACAAUGAAAACGUUGGACGGCAAAGAUAGUUGCAAAGGAUUGUGGAGUGGGGAUGCCUAGAAGGAGGAGCCUUCUCCCACAUGACCCCAGACAGCUUGGUUUGGUGCCCCCCAUACCUGCACCAGCCACAGCAGACUUGCUGCAGAGAAAAGUCAGAGGUCUAGGACCGUUAUUCCAACCAGCAUCUGAUGUGGAAGGAUCCCCACAUCAGAUGAAAAUAGAUCACAUUGCAUGUGUCCUGGUACUUGUCAGGCAGGAUCACGAGGGGAAGAACUUCCGUUCACUGACUCCUCAAAAAGAGAAAUUAACAUUAAAUUCUGUUCCUACCCUCCUCCAGUGGUUAUUUCAUGUUUUUCCAAUUUGUACAUGUUUCAUCUUAAGUCCACUGUGACCAGUGCAUAUUUUCAGUAGGUAGCCUAAAUCAGUUUACAGUUUGAACAGUAAUGAUAAGUAAGGCUACAGCUGUCCCCUAUUAUGUAAAUAUAAAGAACUAAAAUUGGUAUUGGAAAUGUUAUGGCAAAGUUUGAAAUUCUAAACACAUGUUCAGAUGUAUAUAAUGAAAAUAAAAACACCAUGUGCUUCUA
Molecule: long non-coding RNA, 1223 nt
Organism: Micropterus salmoides (largemouth bass)
Lineage: Eukaryota; Metazoa; Chordata; Actinopteri; Centrarchiformes; Centrarchidae
Exons: 4
Source: RefSeq, a predicted model, not a curated record